This 250-nucleotide ribosomal RNA is filed under the name uncultured bacterium. RNAcentral's name for it is "partial 16S ribosomal RNA". It matches the Rfam family "Bacterial small subunit ribosomal RNA", at positions 524 to 772 of the family's 1533-position model. The record is from RNAcentral.
UACGGAGGAUCCAAGCGUUACCCGGAAUUACUGGGCGUAAAGAGUUGCGUAGGCGGCAUGAUAUGUCAGGUGUGAAAUCUUGAGGCUCAACCUCGAGGCUAUACCUGAAACUAUCAAGCUAGAGCAUGAGAGGGGUACCUGGAAUUCCCGGUGUAGGAGUGAAAUCCGUAGAUAUCGGGAGGAACACCAAUGGCGUAGGCAGGGUACUGGCUCAUUGCUGACGCUCAGGCACGAAAGCGUGGGGAGCGAA